CAGAAAGACCCUAUGAAGCUUUACUGUAGCUUGAUAUUGGCUCCAAGCUUUGUUUGCGCAGGAUAGGUGGGAGGCAUUGAAAAUUUCCUUGCGGGGAGAUUUGAGCCGUUGGUGAGAUACCACUCUAACAAUGCUAGGAUUCUAACCCUAUACUGCUAUACAGUUAGGGAACAGUUUCAGGUGGUCAGUUUGACUGGGGCGGUCGCCUCCCAAAAGGUAACGGAGGCGUGCAAAGGUUUCCUCAGGCUGGUCGGAAAUCAGUCGUAGAGUGUAAAGGCAUAAGGAAGCCUGAUUGUAAGACUUACAAGUCAAACAAAGACGAAAGUCGGCCUUAGUGAUCCGACGGUUCCGAGUGGAAGGGCCGUCGCUCAACGGAUAAAAGUUACUCUAGGGAUAACAGGCUGA
This 405-nucleotide ribosomal RNA is filed under the name Trieres sp. (in: diatoms). RNAcentral's name for it is "Trieres sp. partial large subunit ribosomal RNA". It matches the Rfam family "Bacterial large subunit ribosomal RNA", at positions 2081 to 2485 of the family's 2925-position model. Lineage: Eukaryota; Bacillariophyta; Thalassiosirophyceae; Eupodiscales; Parodontellaceae. The record is from RNAcentral.